This 256-nucleotide ribosomal RNA is filed under the name uncultured bacterium. Its description in RNAcentral is "partial 16S ribosomal RNA". It matches the Rfam family "Bacterial small subunit ribosomal RNA", at positions 521 to 776 of the family's 1533-position model. The record is from RNAcentral.
UAAAACGUAGGAGGCGAGCGUUAUCCGGAUUUACUGGGCGUAAAGCGUGUGCAGGCGGUUUGGUUAGUUGGAUGUGAAAGCUCCUGGCUUAACUGGGAGAGGUCGUUCAAUACUGCCAGACUUGAGGAUGGGAGAGGAAGGUGGAAUUCCGAGUGUAGUGGUGAAAUGCGUAGAUAUUCGGAGGAACACCAGUGGCGAAAGCGGCCUUCUGGCCCAUCUCUGACGCUCAUACACGAAAGCUAGGGUAGCAAACGGG